RNAcentral lists this ribosomal RNA (505 nucleotides) under Klebsiella pneumoniae. RNAcentral describes it as "bacterial LSU rRNA". It matches the Rfam family "Bacterial large subunit ribosomal RNA", at positions 944 to 1449 of the family's 2925-position model. Lineage: Bacteria; Pseudomonadati; Pseudomonadota; Gammaproteobacteria; Enterobacterales; Enterobacteriaceae. The record is from RNAcentral.
CCGAUGCAAACUACGAAUACCGAAGAAUGUUAUCACGGGAGACACACGGCGGGUGCUAACGUCCGUCGUGAAGAGGGAAACAACCCAGACCGCCAGCUAAGGUCCCAAAGUCAUGGUUAAGUGGGAAACGAUGUGGGAAGGCACAGACAGCCAGGAUGUUGGCUUAGAAGCAGCCAUCAUUUAAAGAAAGCGUAAUAGCUCACUGGUCGAGUCGGCCUGCGCGGAAGAUGUAACGGGGCUAAACCAUGCACCGAAGCUGCGGCAGCGACACUAUGUGUUGUUGGGUAGGGGAGCGUUCUGUAAGCCUGCGAAGGUGUGCUGUGAGGCAUGCUGGAGGUAUCAGAAGUGCGAAUGCUGACAUAAGUAACGAUAAAGCGGGUGAAAGCCCGCUCGCCGGAAGACCAAGGGUUCCUGUCCAACGUUAAUCGGGCAGGGUGAGUCGACCCCUAAGGCGAGGCCGAAAGGCGUAGUCGAUGGGAAACAGGUUAAUAUUCCUGUACUUGGU